This 274-nucleotide ribosomal RNA is filed under the name uncultured bacterium. Its description in RNAcentral is "partial 16S ribosomal RNA". It matches the Rfam family "Bacterial small subunit ribosomal RNA", at positions 523 to 796 of the family's 1533-position model. The record is from RNAcentral.
AUACGAGGGGUGCAAGCGUUAAUCGGAAUUACUGGGCGUAAAGCGUUCGUAGGCGGUUUGUUAAGCAAGAUGUGAAAGCCCUGGGCUCAACCUGGGAACUGCAUUUUGAACUGGCAAACUAGAAUACUGUAGAGGGUGGUGGAAUUUCCAGUGUAGCGGUGAAAUGCGUAGAGAUUGGAAGGAACAUCAGUGGCGAAGGCGGCCACCUGGACAGAUAUUGACGCUGAGGAACGAAAGCGUGGGGAGCGAACAGGAUUAGAUACCCCAGUAGUCC